CAUCCACAAGAUUUUAUGAAAUAAAAGUUAAUUUUAAAUAAAAACUAUUUCGGUUUUCCCUCUCAUGGUUUUUAUAUUAAACCAUCCCUUUAUCUUUUCUUUUCCACAAACCUUAACACCAAAACUAUCUAACAAAUAAACUUAUUUUUAAAUGUCUCAAAGUUUAAAAUAAAAGUUGUUGCUGCUUUGGUUUGAUUUCAAAUAGUUUUCAAAAUCUGGUUGGAAAACAAAAAGAGAAAAAGGUGAAACCUAGUCUACCCAGGCCUUCCUCUUUUCUUUCUCAUUCUGGCCUUUCUUUUCUCAUCCGGAGCAGCCCAGCCGCAGUAGCCGAUCUCCUCAAUCUGGCCCAUCCUACCCAUCGAAGGGGUAAGCUCCUUUUCUGGAUUGUCGUCUUCUCUCCGUGAGCACGCAGGAGUCGUGACCACUCCCAUGGCCGACGUCACUGCGCACCACCGCGCCUCCAUCUCCUUUUCCCCAUCCCUUAAAUCCCUCUCCAGCCCUCAUGAAACCCUAGCCCCUCUCCCCUCCUGCCGCCGCCACUUCCUCUGUCUCCCCUCCACCUUCUUCUUCUUCACGCAACGAAGAAAACGAACAAGGAACCAUGGCCGGCCUUACAGUGAGCUCGACCGUGCCGUCGCCAUGGGCGCUCCCUCGGCGAGCCGAGACUACCGGAAGAUGCGCCUCGCCGCCCUCGUCAUCCUCGCCAAAGGAAUCGAGUUGGUUCCGCUCCAAUCGACGCCAAGGUCGCCGUUUCUCCGCCACGGCCACCGCGCUCCGGCGAACAUUCCGGCCGCCACCGAGCUCCCCCGACCUUGCUGAGUCCUCCAACACGUUCCUGGUGAGAUUCCGCACCUCGUGGACCUCUUCUCCGUCUCCCUCCUCUUCUCAAACGACCUGCCCGCAUUGAUCUGCCUUCUCCGCCGCAGGACCUCGUCGGCGGCGCUACUCCGGCGACCCCCAGGACUCCGCACCGCCACCAACAGGUUCAUCUCGUCGAGGCGCACGUUCGACGACAUCUCCUUCGUCCCGGUUCGUCGUGAAACGUCAGGGCCGAGCUCGCCGUCCUUUUCCGCCAUGGCUGUUUAUGUCCCAGAGCUCCGCGUCACUUUGACUCAAAACGUUGCGUGCUUCCAUCUAAUCAACAUCAGACACAGCAGCCCAGUGAUCUUGUGUUAGGAACGUUUCAGUUUGUGCCUUAAAUCCCAAUCGUUUUGUUCUCCAGCUACACUGACCGGCCACGGCCAUCUCUCCCAGGCGCAGCACAGUUCCGAAGCAAGCAUUUGCCUCUUCCCGGAUAGGAUCGCGAAGUGGUGUUGUGAGAUACGACAAGUGCUUCUGCAGUUUCUCACAGGCGAGCCCACCCCUUCACCUAUUUUACUUUUACAUGCUCUUUUGAUCUAUUGCUAUCCUUAUGUUGCGAUUCUGUUGUGUCACGUGUCCUAUUCCACCUGUUACCCUAUAUGAUCCGAGAUACACCUCCUUGCCCUACCUGAUGUUUGUUGUUUGCCAGCUUUGCGAGUCGUAGGCGAGUUUAGGGUUUUGUUGAUAUCUCGAGAUGUUCGGGAUAUCUUGUUGGGAGGGUAUCACAUGCUAUAUCAAUUGUUGGAGAUACACAUGCUUUACUUUAUUGUUAACAACUAAAAUUGUAAGCAGAGGCAUCUGUGAGCCCCUUUGCGAAAGCAUCGGAACUUUGACUCGCUAAUGUCCCCUAGGAUCCGAGUUCUUGUUAUCUGUUCCGAGAUUGAGCGCUCUACCCGUACGUGGGGGAGUGGGACCCCCAUCACCCACUACCUUUCCUCGAGUCUGUUUAUUGGGAGCCACAACCUUGGUUUUAUUUGCUCAUAUGCACGAUGCACGAUUUACUUCUGUUGCCUUCGGGUGUUUAUAUUCUGUACUGUACUCAUCUCGUGGAACGAUUAGCGACAGCAGGUUGUUCACACUUAGCUUAGCCGUUGGCACAAACCUCUGGGUCCGUAUCGGAGUACGGCCGAACUUCGUCACGGGUAGCUUAGUGGGGUGGCUCCCUUAAACUUUCUCUUGCAUUGGGAACGGUCUUGAUGUGAGACUCCACCUGUAGUAAGUGGGUUCGAGCAUGCGUAUGGUUACAUUUGGGCAACCCCUGCAGGGUGUACAUCUUAUCGAUAAGCCGUGUCCGCGGUUAUGGACGACUUGGAAUUGUAUGGCUUGAUCAUAGAACAACUUACACCUUUAUGUUGUUGGUAAUAAUUUGCUAAUAACUUGAUUAGUAAUAUAGCAUUACUACAACCGAUACCUAAUAAAACUUGUCCACCGUUGAGUGCCUUUUACAUUGCCUCUUCGCAAUUGUUGAAGGGGAUAUGUGUAUUUGGCUGGGUUAUGUUUGUGUAGUAUUUAUCUGUUACCUUGUGCGCUCUCUUAUCUUCUCUGAGUAGACGGAUGUUGUAGCGUGUCUCUAUUGGAUAGUAGCUUUGCUGCCGCUAAACUCCACAUAUAGCCGGGUGAAGUUCAUACCGCCCACCAGCGAGCAUAGCUGGUCUUGUCUCGCAAGUACGUGCCAAUGGUACUUACCCUCGCCUUCCUUUCUUUUUGUCUCCUCCCCUUUUGUCGGCAACCGAUGGCCCGACUUUGACAGUACCGAGAUGACGACGUUAGCAAGGUUACCCUUCCGGCUUGGCCUGGGCAGGGUUAUGGACGCCACUGGUUAUCUUCAGGACUCUUAGUCCAAUUUGUAUCUUGUCCGUACUCGGACGCAUUUGAUCUUUUGUAUGAUUUGGAUCUUUGUAUUGUAUAUUUGUAUCUUGACUCGUUGGAGUCGUUGUUGUAAUAUAUGUAUCUUGUGGGCUCUAUUGUAAUCCUGUUGU
Molecule: non-coding RNA, 2840 nt
Organism: Lolium perenne
Lineage: Eukaryota; Viridiplantae; Streptophyta; Magnoliopsida; Poales; Poaceae
Source: RefSeq, a predicted model, not a curated record